This 492-nucleotide ribosomal RNA is filed under the name uncultured bacterium. RNAcentral describes it as "partial 16S ribosomal RNA". It matches the Rfam family "Bacterial small subunit ribosomal RNA", at positions 29 to 507 of the family's 1533-position model. The record is from RNAcentral.
AGUGAACGCUGGCGGUAGGCCUAACACAUGCAAGUCGAACGGCAGCACAGUAAGAGCUUGCUCUUACGGGUGGCGAGUGGCGGACGGGUGAGGAAUACAUCGGAAUCUACUUUUUCGUGGGGGGUAACGUAGGGAAACUUACGCUAAUACCGCAUACGACCUACGGGUGAAAGCAGGGGAUCUUCGGACCUUGCGCGAUUGAAUGAGCCGAUGUCGGAUUAGCUAGUUGGCGGGGUAAAGGCCCACCAAGGCGACGAUCCGUAGCUGGUCUGAGAGGAUGAUCAGCCACACUGGAACUGAGACACGGUCCAGACUCCUACGGGAGGCAGCAGUGGGGAAUAUUGGACAAUGGGCGCAAGCCUGAUCCAGCCAUACCGCGUGGGCGAAGAAGGCCUUCGGGUUGUAAAGCCCUUUUGUUGGGAAAGAAAAGCAGCAGGUUAAUACCCCGCUGUUCUGACGGUACCCAAAGAAUAAGCACCGGCUAACUUCGUG